GGAGGGUUGCCCGAGCGGCCAAAGGGAGCAGACUGUAAAUCUGCCGGCGAUGCCUACGUUGGUUCGAAUCCAACACCCUCCA
This 82-nucleotide transfer RNA is filed under the name Polyangiaceae bacterium. RNAcentral describes it as "tRNA-Tyr". It matches the Rfam family "tRNA". Rfam says of the family: Transfer RNA (tRNA) molecules are approximately 80 nucleotides in length. Their secondary structure includes four short double-helical elements and three loops (D, anti-codon, and T loops). Further hydrogen bonds mediate the characteristic L-shaped molecular structure. tRNAs have two regions of fundamental functional importance: the anti-codon, which is responsible for specific mRNA codon recognition, and the 3' end, to which the tRNAs corresponding amino acid is attached (by aminoacyl-tRNA synthetases). tRNAs cope with the degeneracy of the genetic code in two manners: having more than one tRNA (with a specific anti-codon) for a particular amino acid; and 'wobble' base-pairing, i.e. permitting non-standard base-pairing at the 3rd anti-codon position. The record is from RNAcentral. Lineage: Bacteria; Pseudomonadati; Myxococcota; Polyangiales; Polyangiaceae. RNAcentral also lists the same sequence under 1 other name.